This 253-nucleotide ribosomal RNA is filed under the name uncultured bacterium. RNAcentral describes it as "partial 16S ribosomal RNA". It matches the Rfam family "Bacterial small subunit ribosomal RNA", at positions 524 to 776 of the family's 1533-position model. The record is from RNAcentral.
UACAGAGGUCUCAAGCGUUGUUCGGAUUCAUUGGGCGUAAAGGGUGUGUAGGUGGCGCCGUAAGUCGGGUGUGAAAUCUCGGGGCUUAACUCCGAAACUGCAUUCGAUACUGCGGUGCUUGAGGACUGGAGAGGAGACUGGAAUUUACGGUGUAGCGGUGAAAUGCGUAGAUAUCGUAAGGAAGACCAGUGGCGAAGGCGGGUCUCUGGACAGUUCCUGACGCUGAGGCACGAAGGCCAGGGGAGCAAACGGG